GAUGAAGAACGUAGCGAAAUGCGAUAAGUAAUGUGAAUUGCACAAUUCAGUGAAUCAUCGAAUCUUUGAACGCACAUUGCGCCCCCUGGUAUUCCGGGGGGCAUGCCUGUCCGAGCGUCAUUACAACCCUCAAGCUCAGCUUGGUGUUGGGCCCCGCCGCCCCGGCGGGCCCUAAAGUCAGUGGCGGUGCCGUCCGGCCCCGAGCGUAGUAAUUCUUCUCGCUCUGGAGGUCCGGUCGUGUGCUCGCCAGCAACCCCCAAUUUUUUUCAGGUUGACCUCGGAUCAGGUAGGGAUACCCGCUGAACUUAAGCAUAUCAAUAAGCGGAGGA
RNAcentral lists this unclassified non-coding RNA (329 nucleotides) under soil metagenome. RNAcentral describes it as "partial contains 5.8S ribosomal RNA, internal transcribed spacer 2, and large subunit ribosomal RNA". The stretch from base 1 to 120 matches the Rfam family "5.8S ribosomal RNA", at positions 35 to 154 of the family's 154-position model. The record is from RNAcentral.